Molecule: transfer RNA, 74 nt
Filed under: Candidatus Altarchaeales archaeon WOR_SM1_SCG
Lineage: Archaea; Nanobdellati; Candidatus Altarchaeota; Candidatus Altarchaeia; Candidatus Altarchaeales
Description: Candidatus Altiarchaeales archaeon WOR_SM1_SCG tRNA
Rfam family: tRNA
About the family: Transfer RNA (tRNA) molecules are approximately 80 nucleotides in length. Their secondary structure includes four short double-helical elements and three loops (D, anti-codon, and T loops).
Source: Rfam by way of RNAcentral
GGGCCUUUGGUCUAGUUGGUUAUGACAUCGCCUUUACACGGCGGGGAUCCCCGGUUCGAAUCCGGGAAGGCCCA